GAUGAACGCUGGCGGCGUGCCUAAUACAUGCAAGUCGAGCGAACAGACGAGGAGCUUGCUCCUCUGACGUUAGCGGCGGGCGGGUGAGUAACACGUGGAUAACCUACCUAUAAGACUGGGAUAACUUCGGGAAACCGGAGCUAAUACCGGAUAACAUGUUGAACCGCAUGGUUCAACAGUGAAAGACGGUCUUGCUGUCACUUAUAGAUGGAUCCGCGCCGCAUUAGCUAGUUGGUAAGGUAACGGCUUACCAAGGCAACGAUGCGUAGCCGACCUGAGAGGGUGAUCGGCCACACUGGAACUGAGACACGGUCCAGACUCCUACGGGAGGCAGCAGUAGGGAAUCUUCCGCAAUGGGCGAAAGCCUGACGGAGCAACGCCGCGUGAGUGAAGAAGGUCUUCGGAUCGUAAAACUCUGUUAUUAGGGAAGAACAAAUGUGUAAGUAACUAUGCACAUCUUGACGGUACCUAAUCAGAAAGCCACGGCUAACUACGUG
Molecule: ribosomal RNA, 497 nt
Filed under: uncultured bacterium
Lineage: Bacteria
Description: partial 16S ribosomal RNA
Rfam family: Bacterial small subunit ribosomal RNA
Source: RNAcentral